CAUAUUUCUCUCAUUCAGUUUUUUGAAUUUCUCUGAUUUCUCUGAUUUUCUCAGAAAUUGAAUGUGGGGACAUGUCAAACCUUACUCUUAACAGUUAAAGAAGAGGGCUGACCUUUAAAGAGGGGUGCUUAAGACCUGCUGCUGAGAAGGUGACAGAUCAUCUGUGUAGGUAGCAGCACUAUGUGGAACAGCUUUGCCCAUGGGAGGCUGCAAGGAUUCUGUCAGGUUCACUGGCAUUCCUACAACAUCCUAUCUUGAGAGAGAAGGCACCAGUUAACUCUUUCUUACCAUCCUUUAGAUGGGAAGCUUGUAAUGAAAUGGAUGGGAAAAGCCAGGUGCCAAAAAGAAGGAUUUGGCAGUUUGGAGGUGAAUACUCUGGUGCAUUGGGUGCUUAGGAGCAGUGGGACCUGGAGUUAAGUACCUGCUCUGUGAGGUAGAAUCAAGAAUCCUGUUGAGCACUUGGCCUUGGAGCGAAAUGAGAAAUAAAAUAAAGAUACCUCAAAAUGUGAUAUAAAAC
Molecule: long non-coding RNA, 517 nt
Filed under: Phasianus colchicus (ring-necked pheasant)
Lineage: Eukaryota; Metazoa; Chordata; Aves; Galliformes; Phasianidae
Description: lncRNA (ENSPCLG00000003779.1)
Source: RNAcentral